This 429-nucleotide ribosomal RNA is filed under the name Chloroflexota bacterium. Its description in RNAcentral is "Chloroflexi bacterium partial 16S ribosomal RNA". It matches the Rfam family "Bacterial small subunit ribosomal RNA", at positions 355 to 776 of the family's 1533-position model. Lineage: Bacteria; Bacillati; Chloroflexota. The record is from RNAcentral.
UGGGGAAUAUUGCACAAUGGGCGCAAGCCUGAUGCAGCCAUGCCGCGUGUGUGAAGAAGGCCUUCGGGUUGUAAAGCACUUUCAGCGGGGAGGAAGGCGAUAAGGUUAAUAACCUUGUCGAUUGACGUUACCCGCAGAAGAAGCACCGGCUAACUCCGUGCCAGCAGCCGCGGUAAUACGGAGGGUGCAAGCGUUAAUCGGAAUUACUGGGCGUAAAGCGCACGCAGGCGGUCUGUCAAGUCGGAUGUGAAAUCCCCGGGCUUAAACUGGGAACUGCAUUCGAAACUGGCAGGCUAGAGGCUUGUAGAGGGGGGUAGAAUUCCAGGUGUAGCGGUGAAAUGCGUAGAGAUCUGGAGGAAUACCGGUGGCGAAGGCGGCCCCCUGGACAAAGACUGACGCUCAGGUGCGAAAGCGUGGGGAGCAAACAGG